CUAAUUAUUGAUACAGUUGCUAAUUAUAAAUGCAGUUGCUAUUUAUAUAAUGUCCAAUAAAUCAGUGAAUUCAACAGUGUCAUUGUCUGAGUUUAAUGCCCUGCGUGAAGAAGUAAAACAUUUCAUGGAACUGAUCGAAAAACUGACGAAAGAGUUUAGGGCAGUGAAGCAUGAAGUAGAAGCAUCUUAUUCACACAUGGCUUCAAUACAAUUAUCAGGACAUAAUGAUAAUAAUUCUAAGUGAAACUUCAAAAUAAUUAUUAUCAUCAAAUUUAAAUUGUAUUCUUAUUGAAUAAAUUGAUUCACUACUUGGUUCAGUG
Molecule: long non-coding RNA, 320 nt
Organism: Amphimedon queenslandica
Lineage: Eukaryota; Metazoa; Porifera; Demospongiae; Haplosclerida; Niphatidae
Exons: 2
Source: RefSeq, a predicted model, not a curated record